AAGAAUUUAAAAGUCGAACAGACUUAAAAUUUAAGCGGCUACACCUAAAAUUAUAUCUUAAUCCAACAUCGAGGUCGCAAUCUUUUUUAUCGAUAUGAACUCUCCAAAAAAAUUACGCUGUUAUCCCUAAAGUAACUUGUUUUUUUAAUCGCUAAUAACGGAUCAAUUAUUCAUAAAUUAAUGAUUUAAAACAAUUAAAAGUUUAUUAAAUUUUAAUAUCACCCCAAUAAAAUAUCAUCUAUUAUCAUAACAAAAAAAAUCUACAAAAUUAUAAUAAUAUAAAUAUAAAGAUUUAUAGGGUCUUCUCGUCUUUUAAAUAAAUUUUAGCUUUUUGACUAAAAAAUAAAAUUCUAUUAUAAAUUUUUAUGAAACAGUUAAUAUCUCGUCCAACCAUUCAUACCAGCCUUCAAUUAAAAGACUAAUGAUUAUGCUACCUUUGCACAGUUAGUAUACUGCGGCCAUUUAAAAAAAUUCAGUGGGCAGGUCAGACUUUAAAAAAAAUUCAAAAAGAC
Molecule: ribosomal RNA, 512 nt
Filed under: Lucilia caesar
Lineage: Eukaryota; Metazoa; Arthropoda; Insecta; Diptera; Calliphoridae
Description: partial 16S ribosomal RNA
Source: RNAcentral